This 961-nucleotide long non-coding RNA is filed under the name Bemisia tabaci. RNAcentral's name for it is "lncRNA ENSSWEETPG008820". The record is from RNAcentral. Lineage: Eukaryota; Metazoa; Arthropoda; Insecta; Hemiptera; Aleyrodidae.
GUGGAGGGGGGCUUCCGCGUCGCUCGAUAGAUAAACGCUCGAUCGGUUGUGGACCCACUAGUUCCGCUCGCUCCAUCCGCCACACCACACCGCACCGUCCGAAAAUGAGGGUCCUUAGUUUAGUGUCCAGUUUAGCGUUUAUCCUCGUCGUCGGCGCCGAGCACGAGGGCGGCAACAAGACGAAGCGAAGCCACUACGGGGAUCUCGGCGGCGAGGGCCUCGACUUCGGCCACGGCCACGAGACCAUCACCGUCAACAAGGAGACCGCCCACGUGGAAACAGUCCCGAUCCCCGUCGACCGCCCGUACCCCGUCCACGUGCCGGUCGAGAAGCUCGUCCACGUGCCGGUCAAGGUGCCCGUCCAUGUGCCGUACCCCGUUGAGAAACCGGUGCCGUACCCGGUCGAGGUGCCCGUCAAGGAGCCCUACGCUGUUCCUGUUCCGGUUGAGAAGCCGGUCUACGUCCCGGUCAAGACCCACGAGCACGAGCACGAGCACGAGCACGAACAUGAUCAUGGAUAUGGGGAUUUGGCAGAUGGGAAGAUGGCAGAGACGAAAGUGUUCGACCCAAUAGUAGAUCAUCAUAAUAAUAAGACAACUUCAGUAUGGCGUUUUAAAGUGCUCUGCAAGUGCGUGGCAAGUGCUAAACUGCUCGAAUAUCUCCAAGAGAAGGGCCACGAAACCAAGGAGCAACUCGAGAAGUUCAAAAAAAGGUUGGAACAGGAUGACGGCCGCGCAAUAGCGUGGUUAAACGAGCACCAUAAGCUCAGAGUUGAGCCCGCAACGAAUCUGUUCAAAGAACAGAAGUAUACAGACGAAUUUAAAGCACUAAGACCAAAGAUACCCAAAAAAGGACCAACAUAUACGCUGAAGGAGGAGCACCACCAAAUGUAUGGCAUUAAAGAAGUUAAAGGAGAUAGUGAUUGGGGAUUCGGCAAACGGCCACCCGUUUCCAAGAAAUA